RNAcentral lists this unclassified non-coding RNA (253 nucleotides) under uncultured Actinomycetes bacterium. RNAcentral's name for it is "uncultured actinobacterium contains 16S-23S intergenic spacer region". It matches the Rfam family "Bacterial small subunit ribosomal RNA", at positions 524 to 776 of the family's 1533-position model. The record is from RNAcentral. Lineage: Bacteria; Bacillati; Actinomycetota; Actinomycetes.
AACGUAGGGGGCGAGCGUUGCCCGGAUUCACUGGGCGUAAAGCGCGUGUAGGCGGUUCGUUAAGUCGGAUGUGAAAUCUCCGAGCUCAACUCGGAAACUGCGUCCGAUACUGGCGGACUUGAGGACGGUAGAGGUCGGUGGAAUACCCAGUGUACCGGUGAAAUGGACAGAUAUUGGGUGGAACACCAGUGGCGAAGGCGGCCGACUGGGCCGGUCCUGACGCUGAGACGCGAAAGCCAGGGGAGCGAACCGG